This 1619-nucleotide long non-coding RNA is filed under the name Lynx pardinus (Iberian lynx). The record is from RNAcentral. Lineage: Eukaryota; Metazoa; Chordata; Mammalia; Carnivora; Felidae.
AGCAAAAGAAUAACACUUAACACUAAGUGAAUGCAUCCUCUCCCAAGACUUCUGUUUUCUAACCUAUAAAAUGGGGGAUAACUGAAGGGGUGAGCUCAUCUUUACAGUGGUUUCUAUCUGGGGCAAUUCAUGGUACUAAGUUGUUCAGACCAAAAGGACCCCAGCCCAGUACUCCCACUGUGUUCAGAAAAGCAGGCAGCUAUCCUGCUCUUCUCUAUGUGGGUUAAAGCUUUUAAACUUCUUUCUGAGGAAAGGAAAAGAAACUAAGGCUGGUUUGGGGGUUGGAGGAAUAAAGACAGAGGAAGUACAGAGGAGACAGCAGUCUCAAGAGUGGCCAGUUACAUAUUCCAUUGAAGGAACAGUCCUGAGAAACUAGCAAGCCAUGAAGGAAGAUGGUCAACAGGCAAAAAAUUUAGGGAGAGUCCCAAACAAGCAUUCUUGGCUGGAAGAGGCCUCAGGUAAUUACGAGGUUCACAGACCUAUCCCACUCAAUAUAUAUCAGAACAAACUCCUCAUAUGCCCCCAAACCUACUAUUUUUCCUACUCCUCCACCAACCCACUGUUUCUAAGGCAAGAAAUCCGGGCAUCAUCUUAGACUUCUCUCUUCUCCCUCACCCCAACAUCCAAUCAGUCACUGAGUUUUGGUCAUCUUCUAUCUCACUAUUUCUUUUUCAUUUAUUUGUGUAACUUUGGGCUUUAUCAUUUUUCACUUCAACUUGUGUGUGUGUAAUGGUAAAAGCACAUAACAUAAAGUUUACCAUCUUAACCAUUUUUUAAGUAAACAGUUCUACAGUAUUGAGUAUAUUUACAUUGUUGCAAAAUGGAACUCCAGAACUUUCUCACCUUGCAAAACUGAAACUCUAUACCCAUAAAACAACUCCCCCCUUUUUUCCAUCUUCCCAACCCUUGGUAACCACCAUUCUACUUUCUGUUUCUACGACUUUGACUACUAUGGAUAUUUCAUAUAUUCUGGAAUUAUACUUCAUGUCAAUUCUUAUAACAGCCUCAUAACUGGUCUCUCUGCAUCUUUCUUAACAACAAAUCCCCAUUUAAAUGCUUCAGUGAUUUUCUAUUUACUACAGGAUAAAACCCAAGCUCCUUAACUUGACACACAAGCUUGAUAUACAAGUUCUGCCUGUGUGUCUGUUUGUGUACACAUCCCUCACCACACCCCAGAUCUCCCACUUUAAUCUCUAAAUUAAACUGGUGUUUCCACACACACUCUUCAACAAGUAACCAUCACCUUGUAUUUACUGAAUCAUUUCACUCAAAGCCUUGUCCAUUAUCAGCAGUCUUCUUCAUUAAGGAAGUCUUGCCCAGCAUCAGAAUGGCUGUGCUAGGACAACUCUGAUCUGCGAAAACUACUACAGAGCUUCCCUUUUCGGAGAACUAAUGCAAUUCCAGAGCCCACAACAGCAUUCAGACCUAGCUAACAGCAACAGAGCACCUCACACUCACUGUGCUUGUGACAUUUCCUUGUACCAAGCCUUCAACAAAGAGCUGGGAUUUGAACUCCUUGACAAAGCUCAGCAGAGACUCAAGGGAAAGGCCAUCCAUCAAAGCCCGGUACUUGUCAAUCAUAGACCAACGGGCAUAUUCCAGGAUUAAAAGCCGUACAU